ACAAAGGCCAUUUUCUUUCUGGCCAUUCAGGGAGAGGGGUGUUCCAGUUUCAGGAAUAGAAUUAGGGGAGCAAGCUGGUGUUCACCGCACCCUCCAGUGAUCUCUGAUGAUAUGCGGGGAUAAUGGGUUACAAAGACAGACAUUAAUAAGCUACUUGUGCAAGAAGCUACAAUGAGAAAAAAAAUAGCAAGAAAUAGAUGAGGGAAGGAGGUUCUGUAGAGGGAAAAACAAAGAGAGAAAAGGAGAAUGAAUUGUGCUGAGAAAGAGAUGCCUGGAUGAAGAAGCUGGCCCUAGCACCCAUAAAGCUGGAAAGAAAGUGGGGCCUUGGAAACUUCUGGAAGGAUGCGAGGAAAGAAAAAUGCAAGGAAAUGAGAUGGAGAGGAGAAAGAGAAACCAGGAAGCACUUCGGAAGCAUGUAAAUUACAAGGAAAUGAGGAACAGCCUUUAUUGAAACAGUCUGUGAAGUCUGUGCUAGCGCUGAGAGCUUCAUUUUACUGUCCUGGCAAGGAGGUGUGGCCCCUCUCCAGUGCCCAGCACCUCAUCGCUGUGGUAACAGAAGACACGCUUAUCUUCCGGAUUUUGCCUCAGAGACUUGG
This 596-nucleotide long non-coding RNA is filed under the name Homo sapiens (human). RNAcentral's name for it is "long intergenic non-protein coding RNA 1915". Lineage: Eukaryota; Metazoa; Chordata; Mammalia; Primates; Hominidae. The record is from RNAcentral.